This 253-nucleotide ribosomal RNA is filed under the name uncultured bacterium. Its description in RNAcentral is "partial 16S ribosomal RNA". It matches the Rfam family "Bacterial small subunit ribosomal RNA", at positions 524 to 776 of the family's 1533-position model. The record is from RNAcentral.
UACGUAGGGGGCAAGCGUUGUCCGGAAUCAUUGGGCGUAAAGAGCGUGUAGGCGGCCCGGUAAGUCCGCUGUGAAAGUCCAGGGCUCAACCCUGGGAUGCCGGUGGAUACUGUCGGGCUCGAGUCCGGAAGAGGAGUGUGGAAUUCCUGGUGUAGCGGUGAAAUGCGUAGAUAUCAGGAGGAACACCUGUGGUGUAGACAGCUUACUGGACCAUUUCUGACGCUGAGACACGAAAGCGUGGGUAGCAAACAGG